RNAcentral lists this ribosomal RNA (520 nucleotides) under uncultured Glomus. RNAcentral describes it as "SSU rRNA". It matches the Rfam family "Eukaryotic small subunit ribosomal RNA", at positions 569 to 1092 of the family's 1831-position model. Lineage: Eukaryota; Fungi; Glomeromycota; Glomeromycetes; Glomerales; Glomeraceae. The record is from RNAcentral.
AGCAGCCGCGGUAAUUCCAGCUCCAAUAGCGUAUAUUAAAGUUGCUGCAGUUAAAAAGUUCGUAGUUGAAUUUCGGGACCAAUAUGUCGGUCGUGCCUCGGUACGCACUGGCUUAUUGGUUUCUACCUUCUGAAGAACCUCGAUGUCAUUAAUUUGGUGUCUUGGGGAAUCAGGACUGUUACUUUGAAAAAAUUAGAGUGUUUAAAGCAGGCUCGCGCUUGAAUACAUUAGCAUGGAAUAAUGAAAUAGGACGUUUGAUUCUAUUUUGUUGGUUUCUAGGAUCGACGUAAUGAUUAAUAGGGAUAGUUGGGGGCAUUAGUAUUCAAUUGUCAGAGGUGAAAUUCUUGGAUUUAUUGAAGACUAACUACUGCGAAAGCAUUUGCCAAGGAUGUUUUCAUUAAUCAAGAACGAAAGUUAGGGGAUCGAAGACGAUCAGAUACCGUCGUAGUCUUAACCAUAAACCUAUGCCGACUAGGGAUCGGAUGAUGUUAAUUUUUAAUGACUCAUUCGGCGCCUUACG